AUACCCGUAGGUUUUAACCCCCGCCCGUAGAUUUUGAUCGGGCGAGGUAAGUUGUAACAGGGGUCCCUAAAUUUUUAAUAACGGGCCCCUGACUCUGGAAUAAGCCCGGGAAACUGGGUCUAAUACCGGAUAUGACUUUUGACCGCAUGGUUGAGGGUGGAAAGAUUUAUCGGUUGGGGAUGGACUCGCGGCCUAUCAGCUUGUUGGUGAGGUAAUGGCUCACCAAGGCGACGACGGGUAGCCGGCCUGAGAGGGUGACCGGCCACACUGGGACUGAGACACGGCCCAAACUCCUACGGGAGGCAGCAGUGGGGAAUAUUGCACAAUGGGCGCAAGCCUGAUGCAGCGACGCCGCGUGAGGGAUGACGGCCUUCGGGUUGUAAACCUCUUUCAGUAGGGAAGAAGCGAAAGUGACGGUACCUGCAGAAGAAGCGCCGGCUAACUACGUGCCAGCAGCCGCGGUAAUACGUAGGGCGCAAGCGUUAUCCGGAUUUAUUGGGCGUAAAGAGCUCGUAGGCGGUUUGUCGCGUCUAUCGUGAAAGUCCGAGGCUCAACCUCGGAUCUGCGGUGGGUACGGGCAGACUAGAGUGAUGUAGGGGAGACUGGAAUUCCUGGUGUAGCGGUGAAAUGCGCAGAUAUCAGGAGGAACACCGAUGGCGAAGGCAGGUCUCUGGGCAUUUACUGACGCUGAGGAGCGAAAGCAUGGGGAGCGAACAGGAUUAGAUACCCUGGUAGUCCAUGCCGU
This 745-nucleotide ribosomal RNA is filed under the name Arthrobacter sp. HPC 887. RNAcentral describes it as "bacterial SSU rRNA". It matches the Rfam family "Bacterial small subunit ribosomal RNA", at positions 51 to 803 of the family's 1533-position model. Lineage: Bacteria; Bacillati; Actinomycetota; Actinomycetes; Micrococcales; Micrococcaceae. The record is from RNAcentral.